This 253-nucleotide ribosomal RNA is filed under the name uncultured bacterium. RNAcentral describes it as "partial 16S ribosomal RNA". It matches the Rfam family "Bacterial small subunit ribosomal RNA", at positions 524 to 776 of the family's 1533-position model. The record is from RNAcentral.
UACGUAGGAGGCAAGCGUUGUCCGGAAUUACUGGGCGUAAAGCGCGUGUAGGUGGUGGGACAAGUCUGCUGUGAAAGCCCCCGGCUCAACUGGGGAGGGUCAUUCGAUACUGAUCGACUCGAAGGCAGGAGAGGGUAGUGGAAUUCCCGGUGUAGUGGUGAAAUGCGUAGAUAUCGGGAGGAACACCAGUGGCGAAGGCGACUACCUGGCCUGUUCUUGACGCUGAGGCGCGAAAGCUAGGGGAGCAAACGGG